This 70-nucleotide transfer RNA is filed under the name Dipodomys ordii (Ord's kangaroo rat). It matches the Rfam family "tRNA". From Rfam's summary of the family: Transfer RNA (tRNA) molecules are approximately 80 nucleotides in length. Their secondary structure includes four short double-helical elements and three loops (D, anti-codon, and T loops). The record is from Rfam by way of RNAcentral. Lineage: Eukaryota; Metazoa; Chordata; Mammalia; Rodentia; Heteromyidae.
GGGAAUAAGGCUUAGUGGUAGAGUGCUUGCCUAGCAUGCAUGAAGCCCUGGGUUCGAUUCCUUAGUACCA